This 253-nucleotide ribosomal RNA is filed under the name uncultured bacterium. Its description in RNAcentral is "partial 16S ribosomal RNA". It matches the Rfam family "Bacterial small subunit ribosomal RNA", at positions 524 to 776 of the family's 1533-position model. The record is from RNAcentral.
UACAGAGGGUGCAAACGUUGUUCGGAAUUACUGGGCGUAAAGCGUGUGUAGGCUGCCCUGCAAGUCGGGUGUGAAAGCCCCGGGCUCAACCUGGGAAGUGCACUCGAAACUGCGGGGCUGGAGUCCUGGAGAGGAAGGCGGAAUUCUCGGUGUAGAGGUGAAAUUCGUAGAUAUCGAGAGGAACACCGGUGGCGAAGGCGGCCUUCUGGACAGUGACUGACGCUGAGACACGAAAGCGUGGGGAGCAAACAGG